AACGAACGCUGGCGGCGCGCUUAACACAUGCAAGUCGAACGAGAAGGCGUAGCAAUACGCUGGUACAGUGGCGAACGGGUGAGGAAUACAUGGGUAACCUACCCUCGAGUGGGGGAUAACCCGCCGAAAGGCGGGCUAAUACCGCGUACGCUUCCGAUCUUGCGGGAUCGGAAGGAAAGCUGUCCCAAGGGGACGGCGCUCAAGGAUGGGCUCAUGUCCUAUCAGCUUGUUGGUAGGGAACGGCCUACCAAGGCAUCGACGGGUAGCUGGUCUGAGAGGACGAUCAGCCACACUGGCACUGCGACACGGGCCAGACUCCUACGGGAGGCAGCAGUGAGGAAUAUUGCGCAAUGGGCGAAAGCCUGACGCAGCGACGCCGCGUGGGGGAUGAAGGUCUUCGGAUU
This 404-nucleotide ribosomal RNA is filed under the name uncultured bacterium. Its description in RNAcentral is "bacterial SSU rRNA". It matches the Rfam family "Bacterial small subunit ribosomal RNA", at positions 29 to 424 of the family's 1533-position model. The record is from RNAcentral.